GGAAUUUUGCCCAAUGGACGAAAGUCUGAGGCAGCAACUCCUCGUUCGGGACGAAGGCUCUCGGGUCGUACACCUCUUUUCUCAGGGAAGAUCCAAGACGGUACCUGCGGAAGCAGCCACGGCUAACUACGUGCCAGCAGCCGCGGUAAUACGUAGGUGGCAAGCGUUGUCCGGAUUUACUGGGCGUAACGAGCGCGCAGGCGGCUGGUCAAGUCCGAUGUGAAAUCUCCCGGCUUAACUGGGAAACUGCAUCGGAAACUGAUCGGCUUGAAGGUGGGAGAGGGUAGUGGAAUUCCCGGUGUAGUGGUGAAAUGCGUAGAUAUCGGGAGGAACACCAGUGGCGAAGGCGACUACCUGGCCCACUCUUGACGCUGAGGCGCGAAAGCUAGGGGAGCGAAC
This 399-nucleotide ribosomal RNA is filed under the name uncultured bacterium. RNAcentral describes it as "bacterial SSU rRNA". It matches the Rfam family "Bacterial small subunit ribosomal RNA", at positions 358 to 773 of the family's 1533-position model. The record is from RNAcentral.